RNAcentral lists this ribosomal RNA (984 nucleotides) under Hemiandrus sp. 'vicinus'. RNAcentral's name for it is "SSU rRNA". It matches the Rfam family "Eukaryotic small subunit ribosomal RNA", at positions 472 to 1371 of the family's 1831-position model. Lineage: Eukaryota; Metazoa; Arthropoda; Insecta; Orthoptera; Anostostomatidae. The record is from RNAcentral.
GAAAAAUAACGAUACGGGACUCAUCCGAGGCCCCGUAAUCGGAAUGAGUACACUUUAAAUCCUUUAAUAAGUAUCAAUUGGAGGGCAAGUCUGGUGCCAGCAGCCGCGGUAAUUCCAGCUCCAAUAGCGUAUAUUAAAGUUGUUGCGGUUAAAAAGCUCGUAGUUGGACUUGUGUCCCACGCUGUCGGUUCACCGCCCGUCGGUGUCUAACUGACAUGUAUCGUGGGACGUCCUGCCGGUGGUGGCGAGUCGAAAGAUCGCGCCCCCGUGGUUCUGCCAUGGGUAGGUUGCGGUUCGUAGACGGACCCCGAUGAAAUCCUACCGCGGUGCUCUUAAACGAGUGUCGAGGUGGGCCGGCACGUUUACUUUGAACAAAUUAGAGUGCUUAAAGCAGGCCUGAUGCGCCUGAAUACUGUGUGCAUGGAAUAAUGGAAUAGGACCUCGGUUCUAUUUUGUUGGUUUUCGGAACCCGAGGUAAUGAUUAAUAGGGACAGUCGGGGGCAUUCGUAUUGCGACGUUAGAGGUGAAAUUCUUGGAUCGUCGCAAGACGGACCGAAGCGAAAGCAUUUGCCAAGUAUGUUUUCAUUAAUCAAGAACGAAAGUUAGAGGUUCGAAGGCGAUCAGAUACCGCCCUAGUUCUAACCAUAAACGAUGCCAGCUAGCGAUCCGCCGAAGUUCCUCCGAUGACUCGGCGGGCAGCUCCCGGGAAACCAAAGCUUUUGGGUUCCGGGGGAAGUAUGGUUGCAAAGCUGAAACUUAAAGGAAUUGACGGAAGGGCACCACCAGGAGUGGAGCCUGCGGCUUAAUUUGACUCAACACGGGAAACCUCACCAGGCCCGGACACUGGAAGGAUUGACAGAUUGAGAGCUCUUUCUUGAUUCAGUGGGUGGUGGUGCAUGGCCGUUCUUAGUUGGUGGAGCGAUUUGUCUGGUUAAUUCCGAUAACGAACGAGACUCUAGCCUGCUAAAUAGUCGCAUCCGGUAU